Molecule: ribosomal RNA, 1350 nt
Filed under: bacterium W36
Lineage: Bacteria
Description: bacterial SSU rRNA
Rfam family: Bacterial small subunit ribosomal RNA
Source: RNAcentral
GCCGAGCGGUAGAGAUCUUUCGGGAUCUUGAGAGCGGCGUACGGGUGCGGAACACGUGUGCAACCUGCCUUUAUCAGGGGGAUAGCCUUUCGAAAGGAAGAUUAAUACCCCAUAAUAUUUAGAAUGGCAUCAUUUUAAAUUGAAAACUCCGGUGGAUAGAGAUGGGCACGCGCAAGAUUAGAUAGUUGGUGAGGUAACGGCUCACCAAGUCUGCGAUCUUUAGGGGGCCUGAGAGGGUGAUCCCCCACACUGGUACUGAGACACGGACCAGACUCCUACGGGAGGCAGCAGUGAGGAAUAUUGGACAAUGGGUGGGAGCCUGAUCCAGCCAUCCCGCGUGAAGGAUGACGGCCCUAUGGGUUGUAAACUUCUUUUGUAUAGGGAUAAACCUAGAUACGUGUAUCUAGCUGAAGGUACUAUACGAAUAAGCACCGGCUAACUCCGUGCCAGCAGCCGCGGUAAUACGGAGGGUGCAAGCGUUAUCCGGAUUUAUUGGGUUUAAAGGGUCCGUAGGCGGAUCUGUAAGUCAGUGGUGAAAUCUCACAGCUUAACUGUGAAACUGCCAUUGAUACUGCAGGUCUUGAGUGUUGUUGAAGUAGCUGGAAUAAGUAGUGUAGCGGUGAAAUGCAUAGAUAUUACUUAGAACACCAAUUGCGAAGGCAGGUUACUAAGCAACAACUGACGCUGAUGGACGAAAGCGUGGGGAGCGAACAGGAUUAGAUACCCUGGGUAGUCCACGCCGUAACGAUGCUAACUCGUUUUUGGGAGCGCAAGCUUCAGAGACUAAGCGAAAGUGAUAAGUUAGCCACCUGGGGAGUACGAACGCAAGUUUGAAACUCAAAGGAAUUGACGGGGGCCCGCACAAGCGGUGGAUUAUGUGGUUUAAUUCGAUGAUACGCGAGGAACCUUACCAAGGCUUAAAUGGGAAAUGACAGGCUUAGAAAUAGGCUUUUCUUCGGACAUUUUUCAUGGUGCUGUAUGGUUGUCGUCAGCUCGUGCCGUGAGGUGUUAGGUUAAGUCCUGCAACGAGCGCAACCCCUGUCACUAGUUGCCAUCAUUAAGUUGGGGACUCUAGUGAGACUGCCUACGCAAGUAGAGAGGAAGGUGGGGAUGACGUCAAAUCAUCACGGCCCUUACGCCUUGGGCCACACACGUAAUACAAUGGCCGGUACAGAGGGCAGCUACACAGUGAUGUGAUGCAAAUCUCGAAAGCCGGUCUCAGUUCGGAUUGGAGUCUGCAACUCGACUCUAUGAAGCUGGAAUCGCUAGUAAUCGCGCAUCAGCCAUGGCGCGGUGAAUACGUUCCCGGGCCUUGUACACACCGCCCGUCAAGCCAUGGAAGUCCGGGGU